Molecule: ribosomal RNA, 514 nt
Filed under: uncultured bacterium
Lineage: Bacteria
Description: bacterial SSU rRNA
Rfam family: Bacterial small subunit ribosomal RNA
Source: RNAcentral
GAUUCUGGCUCAGGAUGAACGCUAGCGACAGGCUUAACACAUGCAAGUCGAGGGGCAGCACGGGAGUAGCAAUGCAACUGGUGGCGACCGGCGCACGGGUGAGUAACGCGUAUGCAACCUACCUAUCGAGAGGGGAAUAACCCGGCGAAAGUCGGACUAAUACCGCAUAAAACAGGGGCACCGCAUGGUGAUAUUUGUUAAAGAGAUUCGCUGAUAGAUGGGCAUGCGUUCCAUUAGGUAGUUGGUGAGGUAACGGCUCACCAAGCCGACGAUGGAUAGGGGAACUGAGAGGUUGGUCCCCCACACUGGUACUGAGACACGGACCAGACUCCUACGGGAGGCAGCAGUGAGGAAUAUUGGUCAAUGGGCGGGAGCCUGAACCAGCCAAGUCGCGUGAAGGAAAGAAGGAUCUAUGGUUCGUAAACUUCUUUUGCAGGGGAAUAAAGUGCAGGACGUGUCCUGUUUUGUAUGUACCCUGAGAAUAAGGAUCGGCUAACUCCGUGCCAGCAGCUGC